GGGACACGUGGUAUCCUGUCUGAAUAUGGGGGGACCAUCCUCCAAGGCUAAAUACUCCUGACUGACCGAUAGUGAACCAGUACCGUGAGGGAAAGGCGAAAAGAACCCCGGCGAGGGGAGUGAAAAAGAACCUGAAACCGUGUACGUACAAGCAGUGGGAGCACCUUCGGGUGUGACUGCGUACCUUUUGUAUAAUGGGUCAGCGACUUAUAUUCUGUAGCAAGGUUAACCGUAUAGGGGAGCCGCAGGGAAACCGAGUCUUAACUGGGCGUUAAGUUGCAGGGUAUAGACCCGAAACCCGGUGAUCUAGCCAUGGGCAGGUUGAAGGUUGGGUAACACUAACUGGAGGACCGAACCGACUAAUGUUGAAAAAUUAGCGGAUGACUUGUGGCUGGGGGUGAAAGGCCAAUCAAACCGGGAGAUAGCUGGUUCUCCCCGAAAGCUAUUUAGGUAGCGCCUCGUGAAUUCAUCUUCGGGGGUAGAGCACUGUUUCGGCUAGGGGGUCAUCCCGACUUACCAACCCGAUGCAAACUACGAAUACCGAAGAAUGUUAUCACGGGAGACACACGGCGGGUGCUAACGUCCGUCGUGAAGAGGGAAACAACCCAGACCGCCAGCUAAGGUCCCAAAGUCACAGUUAAGUGGGAAACGAUGUGGGAAGGCACAGACAGCCAGGAUGUUGGCUUAGAAGCAGCCAUCAUUUAAAGAAAGCGUAAUAGCUCACUGGUCGAGUCGGCCUGCGCGGAAGAUGUAACGGGGCUAAACUGUGCAC
RNAcentral lists this ribosomal RNA (772 nucleotides) under Klebsiella aerogenes. RNAcentral's name for it is "partial 23S ribosomal RNA". It matches the Rfam family "Bacterial large subunit ribosomal RNA", at positions 419 to 1194 of the family's 2925-position model. The record is from RNAcentral. Lineage: Bacteria; Pseudomonadati; Pseudomonadota; Gammaproteobacteria; Enterobacterales; Enterobacteriaceae.